UCUGAGGUACUUGUGUUUUAGGCACUAAA
This 29-nucleotide small RNA is filed under the name Bombyx mori (domestic silkworm). Its description in RNAcentral is "ovarian small RNA-29943". Lineage: Eukaryota; Metazoa; Arthropoda; Insecta; Lepidoptera; Bombycidae. The record is from RNAcentral.